Molecule: non-coding RNA, 348 nt
Organism: Vicia faba (fava bean)
Lineage: Eukaryota; Viridiplantae; Streptophyta; Magnoliopsida; Fabales; Fabaceae
Source: the annotation of a GenBank genome assembly
AAUUUUCAUCUCACUCUCUCCUUCCUCUCAUCCAUCAUCAUCGUGAAAACCAAAUACUUCCGUUCUCAUCCGAUUCAACUGCUUCUCUGCUACUUCCAAACCGGACAUGCCCAGUCCAUUCAGCAACAUGUACGCGACCUCACGCCACCUGCAUCCUCCUUCUUCUUUCAACUCACACCCACCGUCCUCCCUUUUCAUUCCGUAAACCAACCGUUCACAAAACCCAACCAAUACUCCCUCUGUCUCGCUCAUCGCACGCUCCCUUUAGCCUCGUACUCCUCACCAUUUUCACACCUCCAGCAUAACCUCACUUCAACCUCCUUAUCUCAACCACACGUAAAACCUUAA